Leucoraja erinaceus (little skate) is the source of this 1506-nucleotide long non-coding RNA. RefSeq lists it as uncharacterized. The transcript has 4 exons. Lineage: Eukaryota; Metazoa; Chordata; Chondrichthyes; Rajiformes; Rajidae. The record is from RefSeq and is a predicted model, not a curated record.
GGGUUAGCUAACGCACAGCCGGGCAGAUAAGACCCUGGUUAUAACCCACCUGGUGUAAGUGUGUUCAUUCCUGAGCACUGCAUUACACAAGCCUUCCUCACUGUCCGCUACUCCAGCACCUUGGUUCCAUCAUCAGUGGAUAUCCCAACAUCAAACCUUAUGAUGGAAGGAAGUUAUUGAAGAAGCAGUGGAAGAUGAUUGGGCCUAGGAACUGUUCCACCUCAGCAUGUUGAUCAUUGCGUAGAUCAUCAAUGAUCAUUCACUGAUCUUGUGAAUCAAUGCUGAUCAACGAACCUCCAACGAAGCUAAAAGCUGGAGGAAUGACUGAACAUGAAUGAGAAGUGGAAACAGUGAAGAAGGAAAAGAUUAAAAGCAUAAGCAUUGCAGGAAAGCGGCUAGCCCAGACCCGGUUGAUCUUUCAGAACUGCCUCAGGCACAAAAAAAAAGAAGACUUAAUUAAUUUGUAUUUUGGGUACCAAAGUUCAAAUUUCCAGUGUUAGUGGGCUGUAACUAUCAAUAAUAUGAAUGGACAGUUUAACCACAUACUACGUCUUCGAAACUCAAGGUCACCCCCGUUGUUCUAAAGUCAUACAGUCUUUGUGACGUCAAGCACCCAUUUACGUUAACCCCACACAGAUGUGAUUUUACUCACCAAACAUGUAGUCAAGAGUGUUUAAUUGUGAUAUGUACUGACAACAGAACAAUGUUACUUGCAACAACUUAACUGGCCCGUUAUACAUAGAUAAUGUAUAAUAAUCAUUAAUACAAUAAAUUAAUAACUGUAAUAUUAGUGCAAAAGUCCAAACUCCUUAGCACAACCAAAGACACAGUACAUCGUUGCUGAGGUUAGUGUUGUGUAGUGUUCACGAGCCUGAUGGAUGUUUUUCUAUAGAUGCAGCAUGGAAACAGACCCUUCAGCCUACCGAGUCUACAUCAACCAUUGAUCACAUGUUCACACUAGUUCUAUGUUAUCCCACUUUCUGAUCCACUCCCUUCACAUUAAGGGCAAUUCUGAAAAAAGGUCAUGACCCAAAAUGUCACCUAUCUAUGUUCUCCAGAGAUGCUGCCUGACCCGCUCAGUUACUCCAGCACUUUGUGUCUUUUGUGGAUCAGGAUGUAGUUGGAAUGGUUAGUAAAUUUGAAAAAGGACACCAAAAUUGGUGGAGUCAUGGACAAUCUUAGAUUACAACAGGAUCUAGAUCAACUGGGAAAGUGAAUCAAGAAAUUGAAUUAGAAUUAGAAUUAGAAUUACCUUUAUUGUCAUUCAGACCUUACGGUCUGAACAAAAUUUCGUGCCUGCGGUCAUACAUACAAUAAUAAACAACAAUAAACACAAAUUAACAUCCACCACAGUGAGUCCUCCAAGCACCUCCUCACUGUGGUGGAGGCAAAAAUCUUAGGGCUGCAGUUUCUUCCCUCCUCUUCUCCCUCUGCGCUGAGGCGAUACCCCACCGAGCGAUGGUACAAACAGUCCCGCGGCUCACAGAGCUCCGCGAACGGGCCGGC